UCUUGUUCUCAAUCAUUGAUAUCAUGUCCUCUCUUCAAUACAAUUUUUUUUUUGCGACAAAUUUUUAAUUGUUGUUGUGUUGACUUUGUAGGUUAUGCAUGCUAUCAUGAAAACAAAAGAUAUUACAUAUAUUGUAUUUGAGGAUGGAAUGAUAGUUUUACGAGAUGAAUUCAUGAUGAACUACAAAUUUGACAUUAGUUGUAUUUAAGAAAAUGUUAAAGGUUCUUGAGAGGUUUGUUUCUUAUGUGUUCGUAUUAUCACAGUUAGGAUGUUACGUUAUGCCUUUGUCUCAUGUCUUUAAGUGUAUUUAGAUUAGCCUAUUUGUGGUUACACAUAAUAUAGUUCUUCAUUUAAGUGUUGUAGGUGUUCUAAAAUGGACAUGUUAUCAUAUUGGUUGCACCUUGUGUUUUAAAUCAAGCUUGUGUUGAGAAUAAUUUUCUUUUCUUGUAUGCCUCUUAUGUUUUGUUCGCAUGAUUGUACAAGCUUAUGUUUCGGUCUAUAAAGGUUAUUUAGACUGAAAGCUUGUGUUCUGGUUAAUCGAGCCGUGUGGUUCACAUGUUUAAUCAGUUGUAUUGUCAAGAUUAUUCUUGAAUCUCAUUUUACAGCCUUGUAUGUCUUCUCUUGUGAGAGUUGUGGUUUUCUCUGAUUGCAAAGUGUAUAUUUUGUGAUAAUCAAGAGUUGUUAUGGUUGUAAAUUUGUUAUCUGAUUUGAGUCAUGUGACUAUGUUAUCAGAUUUGUAUUUGUAUCUGAUUUUUUUGAACAAUCAUGUAUUCCUUUGGUUUUUGGAAUCGCCGUGUGAUUGUUUUUUUGUAAAGGAUUCUAAAUGUUUUGAGUCUGACCGUAGUGAGGUUUGUGUAGGUUCACCGUGUUGGUGACCUUAUUUGUUUCUUA
RNAcentral lists this long non-coding RNA (891 nucleotides) under Helianthus annuus (common sunflower). Lineage: Eukaryota; Viridiplantae; Streptophyta; Magnoliopsida; Asterales; Asteraceae. The record is from RNAcentral.